Molecule: ribosomal RNA, 465 nt
Filed under: Vreelandella stevensii
Lineage: Bacteria; Pseudomonadati; Pseudomonadota; Gammaproteobacteria; Oceanospirillales; Halomonadaceae
Description: partial 16S ribosomal RNA
Rfam family: Bacterial small subunit ribosomal RNA
Source: RNAcentral
CCUACGGGUGGCAGCAGUGGGGAAUAUUGGACAAUGGGGGGAACCCUGAUCCAGCCAUGCCGCGUGUGUGAAGAAGGCCCUCGGGUUGUAAAGCACUUUCAGUGAGGAAGAACGCCUGGUGGUUAAUACCCAUCAGGAAAGACAUCACUCACAGAAGAAGCACCGGCUAACUCCGUGCCAGCAGCCGCGGUAAUACGGAGGGUGCGAGCGUUAAUCGGAAUUACUGGGCGUAAAGCGCGCGUAGGUGGCUUGAUAAGCCGGUUGUGAAAGCCCCGGGCUCAACCUGGGAACGGCAUCCGGAACUGUCAAGCUAGAGUGCAGGAGAGGAAGGUAGAAGUCCCGGUGUAGCGGUGAAAUGCGUAGAGAUCGGGAGGAAUACCAGUGGCGAAGGCGGCCUUCUGGACUGACACUGACACUGAGGUGCGAAAGCGUGGGUAGCAAACAGGAUUAGAUACCCGAGUAGUC